Molecule: ribosomal RNA, 262 nt
Filed under: Gilliamella sp. Nev6-6
Lineage: Bacteria; Pseudomonadati; Pseudomonadota; Gammaproteobacteria; Orbales; Orbaceae
Description: partial 16S ribosomal RNA
Rfam family: Bacterial small subunit ribosomal RNA
Source: RNAcentral
UUAAAUUGAAGAGUUUGAUCAUGGCUCAGAUUGAACGCUGGCGGCAGGCUUAACACAUGCAAGUCGAACGGUAACAUGAGUGCUUGCACUUGAUGACGAGUGGCGGACGGGUGAGUAAAGUAUGGGGAUCUGCCGAAUGGAGGGGGACAACAGUUGGAAACGACUGCUAAUACCGCAUAAAGUUGAGAGACCAAAGCAUGGGACCUUUGGGCCAUGCGCCAUUUGAUGAACCCAUAUGGGAUUAGCUAGUAGGUGGGGUAAA